RNAcentral lists this ribosomal RNA (759 nucleotides) under uncultured archaeon. RNAcentral describes it as "bacterial SSU rRNA". It matches the Rfam family "Archaeal small subunit ribosomal RNA", at positions 143 to 903 of the family's 1478-position model. The record is from RNAcentral.
AGAAUAAUGCCCGAUAGAACAUUAUACCUGGAACGGUUUAUGUUUCAAAUGAUUUAUCGCCGUAGGAUGGGACUGCGGCCUAUCAGUUUGUUGGUGAGGUAAUGGCCCACCAAGACUAUUACAGGUACGGGCUCUGAGAGGAGUAGCCCGGAGAUGGGUACUGAGACACGGACCCAGGCCCUAUGGGGCGCAGCAGGCGAGAAAACUUUGCAAUGUGCGAAAGCACGACAAGGUUAAUCCGAGUGGUUUCUGUUAAAGAAACCUUUUGCUAGUCCUAGAAACACUAGUGAAUAAGGGGUGGGCAAGUUCUGGUGUCAGCCGCCGCGGUAAAACCAGCACCUCAAGUGGUCAGGAUGAUUAUUGGGCCUAAAGCAUCCGUAGCCCGUUUUGUAAGUUUUCGGUUAAAUCCAUACGCUCAACGUAUGGGCUGCCGGGAAUACUGCAUAACUAGGAAGUGGGAGAGGUAGACGGUACUCGGGAGGAAGGGGUAAAAUCCUUUGAUCUCCUGAUGACCACCUGUGGCGAAGGCGGUCUACCAGAACACGUUCGACGGUGAGGGGUGAAAGCUGGGGGAGCAAACCGGAUUAGAUACCCGGGUAGUCCCAGCUGUAAACUAUGCAAACUCAGUGAUGCAUUGGCUUGUGGCCAAUGCAGUGCUGCAGGGAAGCCGUUAAGUUUGCCGCCUGGGAAGUACGUACGCAAGUAUGAAACUUAAAGGAAUUGGCGGGGGAGCACCACAAGGGGUGAAGCCUGCGGUUC